UUAAAUAUUUCAUUACCGGGUGCCCGUUUAAAAACGGGUUAAAAGGGAAAGUGGUGAAAGACCACUGCAGCCCACCGUUACUGUGAUGCUGACGAAACCUUGAAAAAUCACUGGAAUAUAUUCCGGGAAGAUUGGGGAGUAGAUUGAAGCUGAGCCAGGAAACCUGCCCGAUAAUUGUUGAGUCU
This 185-nucleotide non-coding RNA is filed under the name Oxobacter pfennigii. Lineage: Bacteria; Bacillati; Bacillota; Clostridia; Eubacteriales; Clostridiaceae. The record is from RNAcentral.